CCUACGGGAGGCAGCAGUGGGGAAUCUUGCACAAUGGAGGAAACUCUGAUGCAGCGAUGCCGCGUGAGUGAAGAAGGCCUUUGGGUUGUAAAGCUCUUUUGUAGGGGAAGAUAAUGACUGUACCCUAAGAAUAAGGUCCGGCUAACUUCGUGCCAGCAGCCGCGGUAAUACGAAGGGACCUAGCGUAGUUCGGAAUUACUGGGCGUAAAGCGCGCGUAGGCCGUUGAGUUAGUUAAUUGUGAAAUCCCAAAGCUUAACUUUGGAACUGCAAUUAAAACUGCUCGACUAGAGUUUGAUAGAGGAAAGCGGAAUACAUAGUGUAGAGGUGAAAUUCGUAGAUAUUAUGUAGAACACCAGUUGCGAAGGCGGCUUUCUGGAUCAACACUGACGCUGAGGCGCGAAAGUAUGGGUAGCAAAGAGGAUUAGAUACCCUCGUAGUCCAUACCAUAAACGAUGAUUGCUAGAUGUUGGAAAUUUAUUUUCAGUAUCGCAGCUAACGCGUUAAGCAAUCCGCCUGGGGAGUACGACCGCAAGGUUAAAACUUAAAUGAAAUUGACGGCUGAGAGNGCGAGACGACACGAGGAGAG
RNAcentral lists this ribosomal RNA (587 nucleotides) under uncultured bacterium. RNAcentral describes it as "bacterial SSU rRNA". It matches the Rfam family "Bacterial small subunit ribosomal RNA", at positions 338 to 948 of the family's 1533-position model. The record is from RNAcentral.